RNAcentral lists this ribosomal RNA (458 nucleotides) under Canistra osculatii. RNAcentral's name for it is "partial large subunit ribosomal RNA". The record is from RNAcentral. Lineage: Eukaryota; Metazoa; Arthropoda; Insecta; Coleoptera; Chrysomelidae.
UCAGGGGUAAACCUGAGAAACCCGAAAGGUCGAAUGGGGAAAUUCAUUCGCGUUUCGAUUGUCGGCGUUGAACGGUUGUGUGACUGACGGAGUACGCUUCGUUCGCACCUUCAGUUUUUCGAACCGACUUCGAACGCGUGCACUUUUCCCCUAGUAGGACGUCGCGAUCCGUUGGGUGUCGGUCUAAGGCCUGCGGUGGAGCUCGCGCGGACGUUUCGAUGUUCUGCACGAACCCGCAGUGUCCCGAUCGACUCGCUCGACGGUAUAAAGAUGGCGCGGGGCCGCUACUCAGUUAGCGUUCGGCCUACGGCAAGCACGUACGGUGUUUGACGGCGAUCAGACCUGGUCGGAUCCCGUCCCCGGACGACUGUUGGCACGUAGUGUUCUCGAACAGACCUCGUUGAAAUGCCGAUCUGCGACGCUAUAGCUUUGGUACUUUCAGGACCCGUCUUGAAACA